RNAcentral lists this ribosomal RNA (445 nucleotides) under uncultured bacterium. Its description in RNAcentral is "partial 16S ribosomal RNA". It matches the Rfam family "Bacterial small subunit ribosomal RNA", at positions 354 to 796 of the family's 1533-position model. The record is from RNAcentral.
GUGAGGAAUAUUGGUCAAUGGGCGAGAGCCUGAACCAGCCAAGUCGCGUGAAGGAAGAAGGAUCUAUGGUUCGUAAACUUCUUUUGCAGGGGAAUAAAGUGCGGGACGUGUCCUGUUUUGUAUGUACCCUGAGAAUAAGGAUCGGCUAACUCCGUGCCAGCAGCCGCGGUAAUACGGAGGAUCCGAGCGUUAUCCGGAUUUAUUGGGUUUAAAGGGUGCGUAGGUGGUUUGAUAAGUCAGCGGUGAAAGUUUGCAGCUUAACUGUAAAAAUGCCGUUGAAGCUGUCGGACUUGAGUGUAAAUGAGGUAGGCGGAAUGCGUGGUGUAGCGGUGAAAUGCAUAGAUAUCACGCAGAACUCCGAUUGCGAAGGCAGCUUACUAAGCUACAACUGACACUGAAGCACGAAAGCGUGGGGAUCAAACAGGAUUAGAAACCCCAGUAGUCC